Molecule: long non-coding RNA, 514 nt
Organism: Gossypium arboreum
Lineage: Eukaryota; Viridiplantae; Streptophyta; Magnoliopsida; Malvales; Malvaceae
Exons: 2
Source: RefSeq, a predicted model, not a curated record
AAAUAAAAUAAAAAAAAACUCGCAAAAGCUUUCCCCUUUUCUCUCUCAAUCUUCAAGUCCGACCUAGGCUCCGGUCGCCGGACCACCGUGGCAACCACCGGUCACCGCGCCGCCGUCCACGGUGUCCGGAACAAAAAACUCCCUUUCGACUACUUUUUGAAGGUAAUACUUUCCUAGCCCGAAAAAAUUAAAAAAAAGGACCUUUUGCCCUCUUCUUAGAUCAAUUUUGAUACCAGAGAGAGGAUUUGCAACGACAAGAACGUCGAACGAUUUAGGUGGUGAAGUCAACAGUGGCAGGCGCUGACGUGGCGAGGUGGAGGCGGCUAGGGUUUUAGUUUUUUUGAAAAAAAUUUAAUGUUGUGGGCUUGUUUAGGUUGGGCUUAGGGUUUUUUUUAAUUUGGGCUGGUAUUUGUCAAUUAGGCUUGGAUUGUUUAAUUAUUUGUUUUUUUCAUUUGUUGGGUCUGUUUAAGGCCCCGGACAAAUUAGGCCUAUUACACAAACAUUAUUUUCUAAA